RNAcentral lists this long non-coding RNA (338 nucleotides) under Physcomitrium patens. RNAcentral's name for it is "long non-coding RNA (PPAT_LNC012735)". Lineage: Eukaryota; Viridiplantae; Streptophyta; Bryopsida; Funariales; Funariaceae. The record is from RNAcentral.
AUCCAACUUCUAAUCUAAAAUACAAGCUUUCUAAAUCCAAUCUCCAAACUUCAAAUGAAUUGCCUUGCUUUGAAUGGACUGCCUUAAAGUCGUCCCAAAUUCUAAUAUGGUCCCAAACAACAUCUCAAAGCCAAUUUGACAUGACUUUCAACCAAAGGUAAUGAAGUCCUCUAUCACUCACUUUAUCCAUCUACAUGAGAUGGCCUAGGAAUCAAAAUAUUAUACUUUUGACACCAAAGCUUUACUAAAUUUAUUAUUAAUAAAUCCUACAAAUUUAAUAUUUAAUAACAAAAUUUAAAUUAUAAAUUUUAAUAAAUUAGAUAAGUAUUUUAUUUUAU